This is a long non-coding RNA of Micropterus salmoides (largemouth bass), 985 nucleotides long. RefSeq lists it as uncharacterized. The transcript is spliced from 2 exons. Lineage: Eukaryota; Metazoa; Chordata; Actinopteri; Centrarchiformes; Centrarchidae. The record is from RefSeq and is a predicted model, not a curated record.
AUCAUCAUCUCUCCUCUCUAUUUCCCAUUGAGCAGUAAGCUAUCUGUGUGAUAGUGAAUGUGUGUCUUCGGCGUUCCUGUCAGACGCUGUCGACUCGAGCAAUGUCAACAGCAGAGGCCGACCACGGCAGUGCUGAUGUUUAGCAAGCAAGAUGUUCCUCCUCUGCAACACAUAGAUGAAAAAUGCACGAGAGAAAAAGGGAAAAGACCACUUCUCUUGAAGCGCACUCCGUCUGGCAGAGAGUCAAGGGCAAGCUGCCAAGGUACUACUUUUCACUUUCCUGACAUGAGGCUGAGGCAGGAACAGGGAGGGGGGGCUGUGGGUGCGUGCGUCAGCAGGUCCGCCUGGGACUCCCUUGCCAGGAGGUGGGAAGAGCAUGUGGUUCUUAUCUUAUCUAUGGGAGGGCUGGAGCACAGCGGCCAACACUGACAUUCAGUGAGCGGCAAAGAGGGGAAAAAAGAGCGCACACCGAAAAUGAAAACGCUUUGACUUCUGUCCCACUGCUCACUUCAUUUAUUGUUUGAGCCUGUGAACCUGGAUAUGUGUGUGUCCAUAUGCAGGGCCAAAUCAGUGAUCGGGGGGUCAUGUUCCCCGCUCCACAUCUGGACUGAUGCUGAACUCUGCAGCCGCUCUCCAGAGGGGCCAUUGGGGACCCGGUAAUGAGAACCACAGAUCCUUGCGUCUUCUCCAGUGCUGUGUUCCUUUAUGAGCCUUGACACGAGGACAAGUCGUAAAGAAAUCUACAUGCAUGUGGCCUUUUCCCAUCCCCUCAGAUACCAACCCGCGACAAGCAGACGAGGGGGUCAAUGGACGCCUUGAGGAGAAUGUCAUCUGUUUCACCGCUCAGAUCGUGCACUGUGCCCUGGCACUGAUCCAGCCCUGCACAGAUCUUGAUGUGAAAAAAAAGGGUGCCUGCAUAACAAGCUAAUUUUCUUUGGCUUGAAUUUCCUGAGAGUUUAAAUAAACACUUAAGACAAAUCACAAA